RNAcentral lists this ribosomal RNA (763 nucleotides) under uncultured archaeon. Its description in RNAcentral is "bacterial SSU rRNA". It matches the Rfam family "Archaeal small subunit ribosomal RNA", at positions 1 to 769 of the family's 1478-position model. The record is from RNAcentral.
UUCCGGUUGAUCCUGCCGGACCUGACUGCUAUCGGAUUGGUACUAAGCCAUGCGAGUCAUUGUAGCAAUACAAGGCGGACGGCUCAGUAACACGUAGUCAACCUAACCUAUGGACGUGGAUAACCUCGGGAAACUGAGAAUAAACCACGAUAGAUCAUGAUGCCUGGAAUGGCUUAUGGUCCAAACAAUUUAUUGCCGUAGGAUGGGACUGCGGCCUAUCAGCUUGUUGGUGAGGUAAUGGCCCACCAAGGCUAUAACAGGUACGGGCUCUGAGAGGAGAAGCCCGGAGAUGGGUACUGAGACACGGACCCAGGCCCUAUGGGGCGCAGCAGGCGAGAAACCUUAGCAAUGUGCGAAAGCACGACUAGGUUAAUCCGAGUGGUUCCUGCUAAAGGAACCUUUUGUCAGUCGUAAAACCACAGACGAAUAAGGGGUGGGCAAGUCUGGUGUCAGCCGCCGCGGUAAUACCAGCACCUCGAGUGGUCAGGAGGUUUAUUGGGCCUAAAGCAUCCGUAGCCGGCUAUGCAAGUCUCCGGGUUAAAUCCAACUGCUCAACAGAUGGGCUGCCGGAGAUACUACAUAGCUAGGGAGCGGGAGAGGCAGACGGUAUUCGGUGGGUAGGGGUAAAAUCCACUGAUCCAUCGAAGAACCACAGUGGCGAAGGCGGUCUGCCAGAACGCGUUCGACGGUGAGGGAUGAAAGCUGGGGGAGCAACCGGAAUAAGAUACCCCGGUAAGUCCCAGCUUGUAAACGAAUGCCAAAC